RNAcentral lists this transfer RNA (88 nucleotides) under Sphingomonas tagetis. RNAcentral's name for it is "tRNA-OTHER". It matches the Rfam family "tRNA". Rfam says of the family: Transfer RNA (tRNA) molecules are approximately 80 nucleotides in length. The record is from RNAcentral. Lineage: Bacteria; Pseudomonadati; Pseudomonadota; Alphaproteobacteria; Sphingomonadales; Sphingomonadaceae.
CCCGAUUAGCUCAGCUGGUAGAGCGCGACCGUUCGUCACGACCGAGUGGCAAUGGCCGAGGGCGCGGGUUCGAGUCCCGCAUUGGGCU